GUAAGACUGGAGCUCAGUGAAUGAGAAAAUCCUAUGUGAUCCUUAGUUAUCUGGGUUUCCUGACUUUGCCAAGCUCCUUAAGUUUCUAGCCCUUACUCUGCUGACAGACACCUAUGAAGAAAUUGGGGGGAUCUUUAGCCUGGAGAAGAGAACAUUUACAAGGGGACAGGAUAAUUUUCUUCAAAUAUUUGUAGGUCUGUCAUGUGGAAGAUGGAUUAAGACUUGCUCUGCUUAGCACCAGAGGCCAAACCUAGAAAGAAUGCCUGAAAGCUGCAGAGAGGCAAAAGUAAGCUGAAUGUCAGGAAGAAGAAAACUUCCUAACAACUAGAGAUGUUGGAAGGUAUAACCAGAUGCUUCCCAAGCCAAGAGGUUCCUCAUUAUUGGAGAUCUUCAAGCAAAGGCUGGAGGAUCCUUCAUUGGGAAAGAAAGGAACAAUGCAGUGUAUAAUUUGGACAAGCUCUUCCUGCUCUAAGGACCAAGAAGGGAAGGAAGACAACCACUCAUCUGCUGCAGGAGAAAGUCAAUUCUGAAGCAUCUUUCAUCACUAACAGAGUUACAAUGUAGAUAUGGUUUAGGGAGAAGGGGAUGUUGAUUAUUUGGUUAUAGAGAGAAAAACGUUGAUUCUCUGUCUCACUUCCUUAGCUUUUAGUAUGAUUGCUAAAAAUGAACAUAAUUGGAGCUAAUUCUCUUCUACAAAAUAAAAUGAUCACUAAUAUUAAACA
This 722-nucleotide long non-coding RNA is filed under the name Monodelphis domestica (gray short-tailed opossum). RNAcentral describes it as "lncRNA (ENSMODG00000037947.1)". The record is from RNAcentral. Lineage: Eukaryota; Metazoa; Chordata; Mammalia; Didelphimorphia; Didelphidae.